GACGAACGCUGGCGGCGUGCUUAACACAUGCAAGUCGAGCGGUAAGGCCCUUUCGGGGGUACACGAGCGGCGAACGGGUGAGUAACACGUGGGUGACCUGCCCUCAGCUCUGGGGAUAAGCCUGGGAAACCGGGUCUAAUACCGGAUAUGACUCCAUGACGCAUGUUGUGGGGUGGAAAGCCUUGUGCGGCUGAGGAUGGGCCCGCGGCCUAUCAGCUUGUUGGUGGGGNGAUGGCCUACCAAGGCGACGACGGGUAGCCGGCCUGAGAGGGCGACGGCCACACUGGGACUGAGACACGGCCCAGACUCCUACGGGAGGCAGCAGUGGGGAAUCUUGCGCAAUGGGCGAAAGCCUGACGCAGCGACGCCGCGU
This 373-nucleotide ribosomal RNA is filed under the name uncultured bacterium. RNAcentral's name for it is "bacterial SSU rRNA". It matches the Rfam family "Bacterial small subunit ribosomal RNA", at positions 28 to 402 of the family's 1533-position model. The record is from RNAcentral.